Molecule: long non-coding RNA, 900 nt
Organism: Cygnus olor (mute swan)
Lineage: Eukaryota; Metazoa; Chordata; Aves; Anseriformes; Anatidae
Exons: 2
Source: RefSeq, a predicted model, not a curated record
AGUUUGCGUUCUCUAAAGCUAAGGUCAUUUUCAAUACCCAUUGCGAGUUUUGUUUCAUUUGCUUAUAUGUUGCAUUCGCUAUGCAAUGAUACAAUAUCAGAAUAAAUUUUUAUUACUUAAAGUUUUAUAUGCAGAUCUUCAAAAUGUUUCCACGUAAGACAUAAAUAUCUAGCAGAUAUUUUCCUGUUUUCCCUGUGGAGUUCCUUCAGAUAAACGUGUGUGUACCAAUUCAUACACUGCUGAGGACAUCUUUUUUUCUACUUGGGUUUGAGUACCAUCACAGAAGUGUUUUCCAUGCGUUGGAAACCAGCUGCAGUUACAGUUGGUACAGGCAUAAAGUCACUGGGUGCCUGGGGAGGGAAUUUUUAGGGCAGGUCUCUUCAGCUCGUGAUGCCUGUCUUUCCCGUCCCUGCGGCGCGGCCGAGAAGCUGUGCUGGUGGCGAUGGCGAACCGUGAGCCUGGGCCAUCCCUGCGAGCCAGGGCCAUCCCUGCGAGAGAGGCAGAGCGGGAGCUCUGGAGGGAAGGCAAAGUCGAUGGUGCCUGGCGAAAGCUUGCAGAGGUGAUGUGGCUGCCGCUCUGCACACCUGGUGCCGCACGGCUGCGGGCAGGCCCGCAACUCGUGUGUUGCAGCAGAAAUAUGUGUUCCCAGGGCUGUCCGAGAGAAGCAUGUGAAAAAUGUUUACAGCUGUCCUCUGAAGUGUCCUCGUGUGCAGCGGCCUCCUGAAGUGCAUCCUCCAGUAGUGGCACCCCACAAGCAGAUCCUGAUCUCGCUCGAGUGGCCAGAGAAGACUCGAGGUGGCUCUUCCCACUGUGACUUCUUGCACGUUUGGAAUGCUUCAAAAUAUUAAAAAUAUGUCAGGGGAAAAAGUCAAUAAAAGCAGUCUUUACUUUUUGUCAGUA